CAGAUGCUAGCAAGUGCUCUCGCACAGUGUUUCCUUCCUGGAGUGACGUCCCUGUCAAUCACCGCCUUGCGUUCCAGCAACCUGGGCUCUCUGGCUAGCCUCAGAGUAUUUUCUAGUCUCUCGUGGCACUUGGAGCUCACUGAUGCUGCUAAGCUGGAUGGCCAUCGAGCUGCAGGGAUCUGCCUGUCUCUGUCUCCCCAGAGUUGGGAUUACAGAUAUACACCUCCCCCGUGCAGGAAAUUACUCUCAAGUCCUUACAUUUCUGUGACAAGUAUGCUAUGAACAGAAUGACACCCGUUUUUCUUUUGUCUGUGAGGUGACAUAAUGUCAGUAAUGACAGAUGACAUAAUGAAUAAUCGUGGCCCAGAGGCUCCAAAAGGACCAGCUUCCAUUCUGGAAGAACCUAGCAUGGGCAGGGGUGGUCGUGAUUGCUGUUCUCUGUCAUUCUAAGAAAGAAGAACUGCUCUGGACAGUAACAGUAAGUACAUAGUCUGGCACAGAACAUAGCUUUUGUUUCUACAUUACUUGUAUUUACCCUGAAGCUUCACUGCCCUCAGCUGGGGUGGUCAUUACCAUUAACACACGGGGACAGUGAGGACUUUGAUUUGCUCUUGGUUGCAGCAGGAGCAAGCGGUAGACCCAAGAUUCACAUCCAGGCUUCAGAGUCCCACCCUCCCUUACCUUCUGUGCAUCACAAAAUGUAGUUGAUGGAAUCUGCUCUGUGGUACCCUGAUAAGAAACAGUUUAUGUAAUGCUCAGCAGUAAGUGCAGCAUUGCCAAAGGAAACAGAGACACUGACGUAUUUACAUAGCAUCUCUUCAACCAAAAGAUACCCGAACUUCUCAUGAUAUCUUUGUGGGAUGGCCAAGUACAGAAUGUCUCUACCUACGCUUUUAUAGAUGGAAAACAUGAGAUGCAGACAGUAAGUGGCUUAUCUGGGCUUACAUAGCAACCCAGUAGCAGGCUGGGAAUAGAACGGAGCAGAGGUUCCUAGCCUUCCGUCCAACGCUCCGUCCACUUGUCCACACUGCCUUCUCAAGUUUCGUCUCCCGUUACUAAGGAAGACAGACCAAAAUAUGUGCUGUUGCGCUGCUACAAUCAAGAGCUGUAUGUUUUUUAUCCGCCUACUAAAAUGGGACAGUGAUUCAAGCCUUGGGAUGUGGGAGACAACAUUGACUUAUUCACAAGCUAUCCUACCAGCAAUUUCCUGGUCUCCACUUUUAUUACAACAUGUGGUUUAUAAAAGGGUAUCUUCCUGAGAUUUUUAUAUAAACUUCCCACUGGUAUAAAAUUUCUCUCUUCCUUCAACGACUAAAGUAGUCUCUCUGGUAGGUAACCAUAAACACCCAAAAGUAAAGUUUAAGUAGGUUUUAAGACAUAAUGACUUAAGAGGCAAUAUUACUUCUUCCCCUCCUUUCUCUUAAAAUUUAUGAUAAACACCUCUAAUUUCCAAACCCAUUCAUAUUUCUAAAAGUCACUACUCUUGUUAGUUACCCCCCAAAAUGGUUCUGUUCCAGCCCUCCACCACAAGACUGCUGGUGUUCUAUCAAAUUUAUUUUAGCUGUAAGUGAAAAACAUAAAAGAAAACCUGCAUCAGCUCUCAGUUAACCACAUUAAAGAUGACCCCGGUGAGGAAGGCGUGCUAGAGUCUAGAGAGUUAACAGACCAAGGGUUGGGGGCAGACCCUGAGCUCCAGACACGGCUUCAGCGGACAGCUAGCGGGUAAAGAAACAUCUUGUGCGUAUUUACACUAGAACCUUGUAUCCUUUACUGACAUCCGAGAUGGGAACUUGAAGGGAAACUUUUACUUUCAGGGAAUUAUAUUACGGAAAAACAUAUCCGAGAAGAUUAAAGUGACCCCAGAGAAUGUGUAAUAAUCACACGGAGGAGGGAUGGGGUUUUACUUCUACUAAGAUCUCAGGGUGUGCUAAGAGAACAUGUCUUCCCAGUCCACAGUGAUGAUCUUCUAUAUCUAAACCAUACUUUUCUUCAACAGUGCUGCCUAUAUUAGUUUCUGGCGUAUAUUAUAUGACUAAUAGAUGGGAUCAGGAGGCUACCCUGAGGCGAGGAAGUGAAAGGAAAACACAGUGGAAGAGAUUUGAGGACCAGCGCACAACUGACUUGAGGAGUUUCAUGUUUUGUUCAGUGCCUCCAUCAGCUGUGUGUGUCCCAGACAGAGGCUGGCUACCUCCCCCGAGCAGGCAAUAUGUUCACCUAUAGACUCAGCAUAACGAGCAUCUCAAUCGAACGAAUGAAACUUGAGUGUACAGUAAGGCUGCUGACUAUGUACUGAUUCUAAAAUGUCCACUUGGAAUAUUUUGAGCAGGCUAAGUCAUUCCGGAUGGAUGACUUUAGUGUCUCGGACAACGUGGCCAUACGUAAGACAUUGUUUUAUGCCUCUAAAAUGAAGUUUUCAUUUUCCUCUUAACCUGUAUUAGUUGGGAGAGGUUGACAUGUAUACACGUUGCAAAGUCAAUAGUUAAUAUGGAAACACAGAGAAACUCAAUAAAUCAUUUAUUUUUCAAAACUGUUGAUUUACUAUGGAGCUGCUUAAGUCCCCCUCAAUAGAUCUGGCUGAAUCCAACAAUGUGUAUUGUGACAUAGUAACUGCUGGUGGCUAAUCUUUAUAAGGCACAUAGGUAGCUGACAUCGUGUUUUUGUUUUUUUGAUUUUUUUGUUCUUUACAUUUAGCAAGUAAGUAUAUAAUUUCCAUUCAAAUAAAAACUGGAGCAAAGUUUAAAAGCCUUUUGGGUAGCAAUGCAUGCCUUGUGCCACUCUACGUCCCUGGAAUAAAUGUUGUGGGCAGGCGACUAGCUGUUCCUUAACUUUUAUCUGACGUCGCAGAACAUUGCCCUUCAGCACUCCCUAAACAUCAGUGUGCUCAGCUGCUUACAGGCGAGGCUAUACGGUAAUUCCAUUUCUGUGAAAUCAUUACAACAAAAACACCCAAGCAUGAACUGGCUACAAACCCGGCUCCCAUCCACUAGAGCCUGCUUUCUACCCGACACAUUAACAUGCAAUCUCAGAACUGGUCCUGUUACUAUGUCAUGGCAAUUUCCUUCUUGUCUUUCUUUCUUUCCUUUUGAGUAAGGAAGCACUAUUAGAAAAGCUGAAGUCCAAUUCCUUGGUGUGAAUAAUGAACUCUGGGGUGGAGACAUUUCUGAUACCACGCUGAACUGAGGUAUUUAAACAAAUAAUACUGAAUUUACAGUUCCAAAAGAAUGGUGUGCAAAAGCUGGUAAGAUCUCUCUCUCUCUCUCUCUCCCCCCUCCUUUUAAAGGAAGUUUUAAUUCAGUAAGUCCUUAGUAGAAAAGGAGUGAUUUUGGAGAGUCAGGAACAACGAACGUGUCCAGGGGACAUAUCCAUGAAGUAUGUGGGAUGUGCAUUCUGCUUGUCUCAAAGUCACAAUAUCCUGGAAGUCGUGUAUUAGAAAUGGUUAUUAUCCCACCCUUUUCACUAGUUGUUAUCACAGUGCUUUGUGUAUGGAAAUUAUCUGAUGGCUCAUGGCCUGGUACAAGGAAGCUCUCAUUUAUGCUCUAGACUGUACUUCUGUAUGACAUAAGGUAUGAUGUGGAAAUUAUGUUCCAGAGAGUCCAUUCCUUCUAGAAGGCCAGUCCUCUGCCCACGGAAGGUGAGUGGACACAGCUGGGUUAAACAGAGCUUUCCCUAGAUAUGAUAGGAAGUCUACUGAAAUCAACUGGGUAGAGACAGAUCAUUAGACCUCUUGCAAAGGAAAGGAACAGUGAGGCCUCCCCUUGUCUUGUGAGGGUCAGGAAAAGCUUGCAUAAGGCAGGUUUUGGCAAGGGGUAAUCCAAUACAUUGAUGCUUACAGGAUCACCUGGAAAUACCAUGUGAUCUUGAAUCGGCUGAGGAAUUAAACAACAACAACAACAACAACAACAACAACAACAACAACAACAACAACAAACCCUUAAUGCCCUCCAAAGGAAGAGAGCUGGAAAGAGCAGGAACUCAACGCCUCUGGCUACAACUAUUUCUAAAGGGAACCCUAGAACAGCUUCUUUGUGGAGAAGAAUUCUAGAAAUAGUUUCUGAUCCUAAAAGCAUUAAAGAACAAAUCUGGGUGCUUGCUUUGCCCACAUUCAGUUUCUGUUUCCUGUAUCCGGUGGUAUCCACUGCACUCCUCAACCUGGUGUCUUCCUCGAUCACCUUUAAAGAGUCCCCAUGCACUUUGGACUGUCCGGAAGAAAUAGUUUUAGAAUGGUUGGGAGUGUGCCAAGGGGUGCAGAAAUUCAAACACCAAUUUCUGUUUCUGUCUGAAGAGCCAGAGGGUUUUUACAAUAUACAAUAUGAACAAAUUCUGUGUUUCUGAAGAAUACUAGCAGUACAUUUAGCGUCUCCCAGGAGUUUUAUCUACCCAAUUGAGAAAUGAAUACAUUAUGAUUAUGAUGAAUACUGAUCAAAAUAUAAAGUUUAAACAUAGCUCUAAUUCUAAGGCCACAACAAUGGAUCACAAAAUAAACGAUUUAAUAAUUUAUUUUUACUGUGUUCUCUGGUUUUAUAGUAUUUAUUUUGUGCUAAAUAUCUUAGGUGUUAUAAUGUGUUAAGUUACUCUAAUCACUCUGCUUUCUCGCUCCUUGUUAUUUUCUUUCAUGGGGAAUUCUCCAAACUAGAAAAGAUGGGAAGGACUAAUGACAAGCUCAAAUUCAACCUUGAAAGAUGCUAAUUUAAACUUCUGCAAUGGGCAUACAUGCCAUACAAUUUUAUGGCUCUGGAAGAAGAAGAGUAAGACAGAAAAAGUAUGCAUUCUGACCCUUGUCCAUGAUAAGGUGUGUGCUAAUUACAUUAAUCCACUUCUUUUUUUAAAGAUUAAAAUAUAUAUAUAUAUGUGAGUACACUUUUGCUGUCAUCAGACACACCAGAAGAGGACAUUGGGUCCCAUUACAGAUGGUUGUGAGCCACCAUGUGGUUGCUGGGAAUUGAACUCAGGACCUCUGGAAGAGCAGUCAGUGCUCUCAACCACUGAGCCAUCUCUCCAGCCCACACUGGUCCAUUUCUAAAACAACGGAUACAAUUACUUGAUGCCCAGGUAUGUCAGUGGGAAUGAGGAUAUUAGGGCGUGCUUUUGUUUUAAUCUGUUUUACUCAACUGAGCCUCUAGUUUGUAGUGGACCCAUGCAAGGUUCUUCUCAUUACCUUGAUGACUGGGAGCUGGCUGUGUCUCACAAAUAACAUGAAUCAUCACCAUUGAGAAAUGAGUCCAGCUCUUUCCGAUUAGCAGCCCUGGGAAGCCUCAUUAACAGUACAGGGAUGGAGGGGUGAUGAUCCUGGAGCCUCAACUGCAGGUGGCAUGCAGAGCCAGCCAGCUAGGCUGACUAGAGUAUAGCCUCCGACGGAUAAAGACCUGGUUCUAGAUAGAUCAGGAGGGUCUGCUGAAGAGAUGCUAUGUGGAGCUAAGCUUCGAAGAGCAGAAAGGCUGGAGGGCCCCAUGUCAACAGCAGCUUUCUAGCAGGGCCCUUAACUCCUGUGCCUUCCUAUCUGCAUCUACCCUUAUACUAAGAAAAGACUUUCUGGAAAAACCUCACUACAGGCCAAUUCCUAGGAAAAGUACUUUUUUUUUUUUUAAGGGCAGAGACAGUCUUACAUUCUCUUAGUGGUGAAAUAAAUUUCAAGUAGGAGCAAUAAGAUAAGUGAAAUUAAUUUCUCUUGUUUCUCUUAGAAAUUCUCCUUUUGGGGCUUAAAUCAUGCUUCGCAUGUUUUACAUAGCUUCUCUCUGUAAAUUCCCAAGCCUGCUUAUUUGAUUAUGAGAGAGAAAAAUGAACCAUCACGUUCUUCUUUCAGACUUAAUUCAAGCACUCUCUUUCUUAAGCUGUGUUUUUCUUUUGGCUGGGGACGGUUGAGCCAUGUGAACAGCCAAUGAGUGGGAAAAUUCCAAAGCUCCCCUCACUUUAUAAGGCAGUUCAGUGGCUCAAUCUAUCAGGCCUCCUUCAGUCCCUCUGGGCUAAUGGUAGCUAGCCCAUCUGGGGCCAUAAAACUGGAGAUAAAGCUGGCCAAGGCAGAACUGGAGGAGAGAGCUUAUCUGUCUUUCUGCAUUUUCAUGUGUCACUCUCGAUACCUUCUUGGCUUUUCAGAUGUGACCCCCUCACUAGUCACAAUGCCACUCAAAUAAAUCACCAAGCUGUCAACAUAACUGCAGGCUGGGAAGAGUCACCGAGUGAAGUUAAAAUUUUCCCAAAUGAAGAUAGAGGGAAAUUCUACUAAUGUAGAGAACUCAAAAGGGAAAAAAAGAGCCCAGGGCACAGAAAUUCCCUAAUCUGGAAGUGGGAGUUUCCAUGGAAUAUUUAUGUGUACUUAAGAAAGUCUCAUUAAGUCAUGGAAAAAAUUGACAUUGAGAGUUUUUAAAUUCUUCCAGGCACUCCACUUGGACUUCUCCCUCUCCCUUUUGUAUAUAUUUCUCAUAACAACACCUUCGUCCUUCUGUGGCACUCAUCCGCGAGCACUUUCUCUGUUUUAUUUUAAAAUGGAUACUGUGAAAAUGUUCCCAAGAUCAGUAUUAUUUUGUGGUCAGAUAGAGAAACGGCUAUAUAUUUAUUUUAGACCCAUAUUAACUUUGUAUGCUUUCUCAAAAGAAUCUUGGCCACUGGACAUAUUUUUCUUCCUUUACCAAUCUCAUAUUUAAUAGGAAAAGACAGUAGUAUGAUUAUAAGGCUAUUAUUAAAUGACCACAAAAGACAAAUUAAAAAAGAAAUUCCUAUAAGGAGCGGGGAAACCAUUUCCAAUUAACUUAGUUAAAAUAACUAAAAAUACUAUCGCUGGCUUCCAAGAAUAAUCUAGACCUUUUACAUGAGUCUGAUAGCCUUUCCAUUGUUUGUUCUCAAAGAGAAUGUAUCCUGGCACCCUUGAACUGACAAUAUGCCACAGUGCAUAUGGCAUGUGUGUGCACACACUAUAAUAGAGGUAUUACAUACAGGCAAGUGGGUUAGAUAGGCAGAAUUGUGACAGUCUCAACCCAUCCUUUAGGAAAUGGCUGACGGCCAGGGAGGAAGGGGCGAUGGGGGUGGGGGUGGGGGUGGGGAGAUAUCUGACUUUAGGAACUGUGUCUCACUCCUUGUUUAUCACCUCAGUCCCCAGCACAUUGUCUAGAUUACGUAUUUAAUUACUGAGUGAACAAGGAGGAAAGAUAACACCUACACACUGCAACACACCUUAAGUCAGGGUGUACUAUCUGAUGAAGAAGGGCUUGCAGUUGAUAAUGUCCCUGGUCAAUUUAGUCUCUCUUUGCCUUCUGUUUAGAAGCACCAGGCAGUAUGUCCCUCAGGAUGUUUAUUCUGUGCACAUACACGAUUGGCACUUAAUAGAUGAGAGCCAUUGAUUCAGGGAAGUAGACCUGAGCGCUGCUGUGAAUCCCAUAGACUCUGAAAACUCACAGAAACCGCCCAGAUCAUGAGAUACUCAGGGAGGGCACUUGGGUUCCUGCAAUGACCAUAUCUAUGUUCAGUUGCAGAAGGCAUAGAAGGACAAAAACUACUGCUGAAGGGCUCUUGCCCACAUUCUUAAAGCUGACCCCCCCCCUCCCCAAUCUCAAUUGUUUGGUGGACUCACUUCCAGGACUACCCGUUUCCUUGAUGUUGCUCAGCUAUAGUACCAACAGAAACUCACUGUCCUGGAGUUAGUAUGGGUGCCUUUGCGGACUGCUCAGCACAUUUAUGAUCUGUACUGAGGAUAGACUCCCGAGAGUCAGAGGGAGAAAAAUAAGAGUGCAGACCAGAUUAUUUCAAGUGUUCUAAAGUUUGGAAAGGAAUAAGGCAAGAGCUAAGGGAAGCAGGCAGGCUUUGGGGCUGAGAGCUAUUCAUAGGUAGAAGAACAGAAAAAGGAAGCCAACCCCCAAACAAGGGGAAGCCACAACAGUUUUCCCAAUGGUUUAGUCAGCAAGGUCAGACCUCUAGGCGGAGGCUCAGGAAAAGGACUGGAGAGAGAAAGCCAAGCCACAGCGGUCAAAACAACAGUUGCUGGCCCUCAACUGUGACAGCACAGCCAGGGACAAGAACAGCUUCUGGUUCCCAGCACACCUGCCUCAUGCUCUCUCUUCUACAGUGUGAGUCUAAAGUCACAGAUUUGGAGUCAGGGACUACAGCCUGGGUCCUUGGGCCAUUUACUAGUUUGUAUGUGACACGGAUCUCCUUGGGCUUCUGUGAAAUGGGACCAGUCAUUACCUCCGUCUCACAAUAUUUCUGCAAGCUUGCAAAGCAAGCCAGCCCAGCACACAGGAGCCAUGCUGCGUGUUCUAGCACUUGUUGCUGUAAUGGUAUGCUUGUAGCAAGGUCAAUGCUAAUGGACCUGGUCACAGAUUAAUUAAUUAGACAGGCCUCAGAAGCGUGGCUGGGAAGUGGUAUGACAGCUGGUUUCACUGUCUGCACCCAGCCCAUUGUAACUGAAGCAUCAUUUUCUAUCUGUACACAUAACAAGAAAGGCAUCCGGGAUGUGGCUGGUUCUGUGAUGUCUUUUCAUAUGGUCUGGUAAGCUUUGGACCAUGUUAGUGACCAGCCACUGGCGCCUUUCACCUUUGCUGAGUGGCAGACUGAGGUCAUUGUUCCAUAGUCUGUCUGCAUCUAUGGUGUCUCCAAGAGAACAGAAAUUUCUUGGUCGUCAGCUCAUCUGGGGUGAGCUGAAACAAUGUGAUAUGCCUGGCUUGCUGGCCUUGUUCUUCCUCUCAUGAUGGGGCCCUUCACAGAUCUGCAGGGAUAAGGCCAAACUCAGCAUAGUUUCAUUUAAGCUGUUUCGGUAUUUUUUUUUUUUUUUUUUUGCAAAUAGUUCUGUAAUUCUCAAGUCAAAAGAAGAUGUUAAAAGAAAACACAGGUUUAAAAGCCGUCUUUUGAUCUUGGUUUCUGUCGGCCAGUGAUCUCCUGCUUAGGGCCACAGUAAGAGGACGCUCAACUGCUAUCUUUUUGACUAGGUAUCGGGACAUUUCACUCAAAGAAUAAUGCUUUUGCUCCCAGUUCAAUGGCUGUGGAGCCCCCACCCCGACUAAAGUCAUCUGGCAUAAAGCUCUGUGGAAUCUUUUUAAAACCUGGUUCUCAGAAAUGAUGACGACUUCGCGGGUUUGAGGGGAUUUGAGCUUGCUGAUCCCGCUGAACAAUCAAAGCCCAGGGCCAUUUCAAACUGAUAGCUUAUUAUCUCUGAACAUAUUUUAGCUUCACUAACAAAUAGAGUCUCUCGAAACCUUUUAAGAUGUGAGCUGUUAUGCAAACCAACAGGUCCCCAAAAAGGAUGAAAGAGCUCCAGCCUUCCCACUACUGUCGUGCUGCAAGGCACACGGUCAGGCACACAGAGGGCUGAAACACAAAUGCUCGGAUGAUACAACCAACGAGUCAACACAGAUUCCAGUUGCAUCAGGGGUGGGCAUGGUUUCUUACGGGUCCAGGUACUGGGGGGCCGGAGAGAUGGCUCAGCAGCUAAGAACAUGUGUUGCUCUUGUAGAAGAUCAGUGUUCAACUCCCAGCACCCAUUUUUGGGCUCACCGCCUUCCACAGCCCCAGUUCUAGGGGACCCAACAGGCACGCGCGGGGUGCACACGCAUUCAUGCAGGCAAAACAUCAAUACGCAUAAUGAGCACAGAGAGGAGACCAGGCUCCAGAAGGUACUUUUUGAGGUCUGGUGCUGGGCGAGGAGGUGGCUUAUCAAAUGAUCUGGCAGGUGAUGUGAAAAGCAGCCCCUCAACACGUACAAGGCUACCAAGAGCCUGCAAAGACUAAGGGUUUUCUUCAAUGUGUUUGAUAUUGGUACAAAACAAGAUCAGGAACCCUCUUGAUCAAUCUUAUUUCUGAUGGGCAGUUAGCAUAAAUUCUGUGGCCUCAAUGGGUUUGGAUACCUCCUGUGGACUCUGUUUCAAACCAACCUGGUGAAUCAAGGCAACCUCUCAGAUAUGCAAGAGUGAAAUCUUCUUAACAUGUGAGCAGGCGUCUUACAGAUAUAAAGAGAAAAAUUGCAAUUUGGCUAGCGUGUGAAUAAUCAACUCAAACUAGGACAAAGAAAGAAAGAAAGAAAGAAAGAAAGAAAGAAAGAAAGAAAGAACCAAACAUCAAAUACAACAAUAGAAAGCCUUACAAAACUUAGCCCAAUAGUCCAACCCCUGACCUCACAAUGCAUGCAGAGAACAUCUGAGAGGCUGACGUGUUGACUGAUGCAGUUCUUACCGACGUGGCAGCCCCUGAAGGACACCCAUAGAUAGAAAGAGUCCUACUUCAGGAGACACUCCUUUUCCUUCAUCCUGCCCCUAUCAAGCUUGCAUGGGAUUUUAUUUAGUAAAAUAAAGCACAGACCACAUUCUACUAAGCCUUUGAGACCAUCUCUCGGGGUCUGUACCCUGUUUUCCAUCAUAGACCUCAUGAUAUGAAAUAGUUCUGGUCUUGUAAGGUACACUGAAGAAUGUUCCUGGAAACAGCUUAAAACAGGGUCAUCAUAAACGGAGAUAGAGGUCUAAAUGAUUAAAACUAUGUUGUACUGAUCGAUGUCUAUUUCAAAGAUUCUUUCUCUAGACAAAUUAUCUUGGUCUUAUUUAUUUGUAACCACGUUGCAGCAAACACCCACACCCAUUUUAGUCCAUGCCUCUAAGCCUCUAAGAGUGUUUCAUAGUAGGUGAACUGGUAUGCUUUUAAAGAAAUGAGCCAGGAAUUGUACUUACAGAUAAGUAUUAUUAAUAAGUCGAACUCACUUCCAGUGGCUGGACGCCUGUGCUGAAAUGCAGCUCAUGCUAAGAAUUCUAUUUGAAACUUGUCUUCAGCCACUCUCUGAGCAAAUUAACUGUGUCACAGAAGACAAAGGGCCUUUAUUUUACUGUCACUUUUCUGUUUUUUUUUUCUGAACAGUUUUACCAAGCAAGAUCACCUGUGCCCCCCAUCCCCACCCCCAUGCUGACAUGAACGACUUCAGCUAUUUCUGAAAGUCUAGUAAAUCUUCAGAGUCAGGGCAUAGAAAGCAGCGGGCAGCUGACUGGAUGUGCAAGUGCACAAGUCAGUAUCAGAACAGAAGCAUCGAACAAACGGACACACUAAAACCAACCAACCAACCAACCAACCAACCAACCAACCAACCAACCAACCAACCAACAAAAAAGCCCCUGGUGACUGUACUCCCAGAACAGGCAUACAAGUCGCUUGCAUAAUUAUUUUGAAAGGAGGAACACUUGACUGUGCAAGUGCUACCAUGCUCAAAAAUAAUUUUAUUAAAUAAGCAGGCCUUGCAGUCUCAAUGGCAAUGAGCAAGCAGAAGCCCUGAAACUGUGCCUCUAGGUGCUUUCAAUAGAGAUGUGCCAAGGACAGCCCUUCCCUGAGAACCGAGGCAGACAGAAGUGGCAGCAGAAGGUGAGGGUUUUAAACAUAAGAAGGCCAAGCGAUGCCAUUGCCAGCAAAGCACCGUUUCUUCAAUGUUGGAAACUAUGGUUACUAGUUAAAAUGUCAAAUCCUCUUUUGUUGACAAAAGCUCAAAGGGAACCAGUUCUGUCCCUGACUGAGCCGUACUGUAAGGGCAAGAGAUUCUUUCUGAAGGGCAUGCCUCCUAAUAACGUUCAUUAACUUCUGUUUGGUUGCCUAAGAGUUGUCUCUUAUCCAAAAACAGUUGAACGCCGGCUCAAAAAAGAGAUUGUGUUUAUUUAAGCUUGUUGGAAAAACAUUCCUAUCAUUUCAAGAAUGACUAAAUAUUUUUCAUUCACAUAGUUCGCAUUCCAGACUAUGUUUUCCUGCCUCUGUUGAUUACAUGAAAAUUAGCAGGCCCGGUCUGAUCUAUUAGACACAAUUAUUACUGUCUUCCCGAGAAAACCACGAGGCUCCUUAGCAAUAAUCCCGUUUAAGGUACAGGAGGCGGACAGGAGGGGCAGACAGAGAGGAGCUCACCCCCGUAUGCUGCUUCAGCCAGAAAAUGUUCAACAGACCUGACUGCUGGACCUGGGAACUUAGACGCAGCGCCUGUGCAUCAGCUCUGAACAAGUAUGAGUGAUUCAGGCAGCAAGCCUUUGAAGAGCUGAAGGACCACAGUCGUUUGUGUUUGCAGAGCUUUGAUCACCCUGGUGGUUUUAUUCAAAUCAAGUGCAAAGGAGAAGGCGCAAGCUUGUCUGUGUGGAGCAGACAAUGCAACCUGGCUGGGAGCAAGGAUAAACAUGUCUUCCCAGCUAAAUGACUUCUGCACAUGUUGGUUCACACCUGUUUAGCUCCCAUGAUAUGUGAUGGAUACCUAGAGAGCUGCUUGUGGAAUGUGCACAGCUAUGAAAAAAAAAAAUCAUAAAAUUUGACAAGUCAUAGUUAGUUUGAUGGGGAGGGUCUUUUACAUCCAUUUCAUCUAUAUUGGAAUACUAUCUUAACUAUCUCAAGAUAUUUUAAACGAUCAGAGAAAAAACAAAAGUACCAAAAAAUUUAUGACUGAAGUGCUCUGGCACUUAGGUUUAAGACCUUAGGGUAACACACGGUCAUUUGGCAUCCAACAUAUGACCUUAUUUGGACAAGGAGAAAAUAGACUGUCUUAUAUUUUAAUUCCCAUUUAUGGAAUAUGUUUCCAGGACAUUCAGAGUUAAAAGAUGAAACAGCGUGCCUAGCGCUCUUGAGGAUAUUACAAGUAUUUUAUUAUUCUUGGCUUACUAAUAAUAGUAGCAUCGAUGGCACCGAAACACUGCCACCCAUGAGCUGAGUUUUGAUCCCUGUUAUGUAGCAGAAUGCUAAUGACAUGUGACUGUGCCAUCUCUGACUUCCUUGCCCUUCUGGGGGUCAGCCCAACUCUCCUUCACUCCCCACUACUGAAGCAGCAGCUUCAAUCAACCGAGAUACUGUGCAGAAAGGAACAUGAUGGCCAAGGCGGGGCUGGAAACAUUUUUUUUUUCUUGUUUCAAGGAAUUCCCACCCAGAUAUGUGCCUGGUACAGAAUUUUCUGGCAGGCCAGUUGAAAUCUCACUCGAAGGGCAGCUUGAUUCAAACUGUACUGUCAACAUUCACUAGAAGGAACAUACCACUCCUAGAGACCGUGAGGGCGGAGGUUAAGGAAGGCACUGACAGCUCACAGACCUCCGGUGAGCCGGAGGAGCAAGGCGUGAGAUUUCUGAUGCUGAGGUGAAGUGGUUGCCUAACCCUAUACAGGUAAAGACAAGCUUAAUGUCUAAUCCUCGGUGUCCCAGGCAAAACCAUGAUGAGCCCUUUUAAGUAAGACAUCCAAGAUAGCCAGGAGGUAAGGAAAAAAUAGUUGAUUUUCUGGCUCAAUCACAUUCCGUCUUAAAUCCAGAGACUGGGGGUUGGGAGGAAGGGCCCAAACAGUGCGCAUGUCUUAUUCUUCUAUAAGAGUUUAUGAAGUCCAGGUGACCAGAGUUACAGGGUCUGCCUGACACCCAGCAGUAUGUCUGAUAACAGUUCUACAAACAAGGCUGCUUUAACUUACUGUGGGAAAACUUACAACAAAUAUGGAGACCGAAUAAUAAGAUGGGCCCUCAUGUACUUGACUUUGAAAACCUAUAAAUAGCUUUGCCUACCUACUCUGAGACAAACAUUGAAUUUCACUUUGGUAUCAGAGAAACAUAAAAGAGUGGAGAGGAAAGGAAAUUCCCUCACUGGCCAUUGGAAUGGUGAAUACCACAUUCAACAGUGUGACCUAAGUUCUUACUUCUUGGAAAGCAAUAGACUCUGGAGUUGCCUCCAAAAUCCUCAAGGUCGCAGGAAUCAUCCCUUUGUCCCCCACAGGAAACUCUGCAUGAGGCAGGAGGACACUCAGGUCACAGUGGUCAACUGGGUGGGUCAACCACACCCAAAAUGAGAUAGCAGAUACACGCUUCAGGUCACCUUGUAAUUCUUAUCUCUCGUCCUGGGUGUCACUGGUAAGUUAUCUCUUUCUUACUCAGUAAGUAUAUCGCACAUCUUAGCGGCAUGUUUGCUUCGACGUCUUAGUUUACCUUCAACUAAAAAAAUUUUUUUGUUUUAUUUUUCUUUAAAGAUAGGUUCUGCAUGAUAUUAACAAAUGGCUGAGGCAGCUUAUGUAUGUGAUAGGAUGGGAAGGAAAUGAGCAAACCAUUAAUAAUUACAAUAAUGACUAAUGUGGCAUAAAGGUAUCAUUCUUGCCUGUGUAAAUAAGUAACCCACAGUGAGACAUCUGCACACACACAGUGUGCCCCAAAAGCAGCAUAUAUCAAAGAGCACACUUGGCUUUGGCUCCUGAGCCUGGGGACACCUCAGUGAAGCUCUGAAACUCAUCCUUAGUAGGGGAACCAGGACAGAACCAACUGCAGGCAAUACACCAGUCCCGGGAGGCCUAACGGGUCACCACUGGGAGGGAGCCUAGAGCAGUGUGCCUGGCAUAACCUCCAAGUAGGCAAAAGGAAGCUGGUGAGUCCAAGCCACCUGGGGCAAUAGGCCCACUGCAUGUCAGGCAUUGCAUUCUGAGUUCAAAAUGUGUUUCACACGAGCAUCCAAAGUUGUUCUUUCUUCAACUGGUUGGGGGCCAGAUGGCUGUCUUGACUCUGGGUAUGGUGAGCCUUUCUUCUUAGCCCAUUUCUCAGAUAGUGAGCCUUGAGGAAAGUACUGGGUCUGCUACUCCAUUCUUCCUGACCCUGUUCAUUUAUCAUUCAUCAACUCACAUAUAGUCAUCAUGUAAUAAUUCAAAAGAACACGGGGCAUUCCUUGCCCACCAGGGAUGUGGCCUCUCUCUGGGGUGCAGUGUACUGUCCUGAGGAAGUGUGUGUGCAAAGUCCAGAGGCUGGGCUUUGAGGCCACAGGACUGCUAUAUGCUUGCUGUAUGGCCCAGAGCUAGUUAAAUAACCUCCAGGCUGUGAGCCCCAUGACAUGGAAUCCUAGAACAUGCAUUCAGGAUUCAGGGUCAGACAAUAUGCUGCUCUCACUAUACUCAGGUCUGGCAUAUGGUGGGUGAGCAAGCACUGUUAGUUACUAAGGACUGCAUGUAAGAUGAGGUCCAUCCCCUUGUCCUUUCCAUUUAAAAAUUUAGAGUUUUAAAAAGACAGGGACAAGGUCCUUCACGUAUGUACUUAAACUGCAAACCUCAUAUUUAUCCCAUGUGUUUCUCUGCCUUAGUUCUUUUUGAGUGAAAUUAAAACUAAUGAGAAUAGCUAGGUGUGAUGGUGCGCACCUUUAAUCCCAGAGGCGAAGGCAGGUGGAUAUCUGAUAUCUGAGUUCCAGUGACCGGACCAAAGCUCUCUUUGUCAAGGCAGAGAGGGCGGCUGAGGGCAGCCUGGUCUAAAGAGUGAGUUCCAGAAAGAUAGCCAGCAGGGCUACACAGAGAAACCCCGUGUCAAACCAAACCAAACCAAAUCAAACCAAACCAAACCAAACCACAAACCAAACCAAACCAAACCAAACCAAACCAAACCAAACCACAAACCAAACGAGACUUGUGAACAGGAAGAAAUGUAGAGAAAAGCCAGCAAGGCAGAAUCAGAGGAUUCAGUCAGUUCCAAGCCUACAGCCUGAAUGGCUUAGGCUUAUCUGUAUGCCCGAAUUGGGUGUUGACAAUAACUUGCUAAGACUUCAGUUUGAGAGUACUUAAGUGCCAACUUGUAAGGCACUUAAGGACUUGCGGUCAAGUUAGCUGUCAAGUGACAGCCUUGUCUUCAAGGGUCCCCAGAUUCAUGUUCAGGUCCUGUGGGAGUAGCCUAUUAUGGUGUUCCUUGGAAGGUAGGAGUCUUUAGUGACAAUGACAGCCCCAGGGUUCCCUCUUCCUGGAGGUCCUAACAUGCUGUAUUUGGCAAUUUGUGAGUUAUUUCAGCAACAUUUAAAAACCACAAUACCUGUAUAGGGUUGACUCUUCUAAUUUUAUAUUCUGUGGACCUUGAGACAAAGCCUAAAAGUGAGGGCUGUCUCUAGUCAUGCAAGUAUGUGUGCGCGGGAGUUUACUCCGGGUCUGAGCUGAACACACAUCAGUAAUUCUGUUUGUCUGUAAAUGAUCUGGGCUGAUGGCUCCUUUAUUAUUCAACAACACAUUGGGAUUUUUGUUGUUAUUGCUACUUUCCUAUUCCAUACCGUUCUUUUGCUAUUCUGAGAUCAUUCACAAUUACACUUAACAAUGCACUGGAAUAGCUACUGAGAAAAAUGUCUUCAAAUGGUUGCAUAUAUUUUUCUUGGACUCUAUAGAAUAAGACCCUCUCAUCUCAUAGGCUUUAAAAAAAUCUUUAGUAAUAGUUAUUAUUACUUAUCAGUAACUUUUCAUUAUCAGUCUCUGAAUUUUGAUUUAAUAUGAAAAAGUCAUUCUGCCUUUAUUACACCAUGCAGUGGCAAUCACUGGAGAGUUAAUACCAUCCUAGACCAAGGUUGCUACGCAGCUCAAGUAAAAACUAAAACAAGAAAUGUAAGCCAUGUGAGUUCUCUAUGGAGUAGAAAACACAAUCUUGUGAAAGGUUUGCUUAAGACAGAUAGAGACUAAGGAGGAGCCAGCAGAAGUUUCGAGGUGACCAAGCAUUCUUUGUCAAGGCAGAGAG
Molecule: long non-coding RNA, 16412 nt
Organism: Mus musculus (house mouse)
Lineage: Eukaryota; Metazoa; Chordata; Mammalia; Rodentia; Muridae
Product: predicted gene, 52306
Exons: 3
Source: RefSeq, a predicted model, not a curated record